Molecule: microRNA precursor, 74 nt
Filed under: Sorex araneus (European shrew)
Lineage: Eukaryota; Metazoa; Chordata; Mammalia; Eulipotyphla; Soricidae
Description: miRNA (ENSSARG00000018443.1)
Source: RNAcentral
GGCUGAGGUGGGAUCCUGAGGCCUCUCCAGUCACUGAGGGUGCACCAUCAGCCUGUCUCGCCCGCCGCGCUAGG